GGAGGGAUGGCCGAGCGGCUUAAGGCGGCGGUCUUGAAAACCGCUGAACGGCAACGUUCCGUAGGUUCAAAUCCUACUCCCUCCGCCA
RNAcentral lists this transfer RNA (88 nucleotides) under Deltaproteobacteria bacterium. RNAcentral's name for it is "tRNA-Ser". It matches the Rfam family "tRNA". Rfam says of the family: Transfer RNA (tRNA) molecules are approximately 80 nucleotides in length. The record is from RNAcentral. Lineage: Bacteria; Pseudomonadati; Myxococcota; Myxococcia.